Molecule: ribosomal RNA, 510 nt
Filed under: Drosophila cyrtoloma
Lineage: Eukaryota; Metazoa; Arthropoda; Insecta; Diptera; Drosophilidae
Description: partial 16S ribosomal RNA
Rfam family: Bacterial large subunit ribosomal RNA
Source: RNAcentral
GUCUUUUUGAAAUAAAUUUAAAGUCUAACCUGCCCACUGAAAAUUUUAAAUGGCCGCAGUAUUCUAACUGUGCAAAGGUAGCAUAAUCAUUAGUCUUUUAAUUGAAGGCUGGAAUGAAUGGUUGGACGAGAUAUUAACUGUUUCAUUUAAAUUUUUUAUAGAAUUUUAUUUUUUAGUCAAAAAGCUAAAAUAAAUUUAAAAGACGAGAAGACCCUAUAAAUCUUUAUAUUUUGUUUAUUUUAAUUAUAAAGAUUAUUUUUAUUAUAAUAAAUUAAAAUAUUUUAUUGGGGUGAUAUUAAAAUUUAAAAAACUUUUAAUUUUUAAAACCAUUGAUUUAUGAAUAAUUGAUCCAUUAAUAAUGAUUAAAAAUUUAAGUUACUUUAGGGAUAACAGCGUAAUUUUUUUGGAGAGUUCAUAUCGAUAAAAAAGAUUGCGACCUCGAUGUUGGAUUAAGAUAUAAUUUUGGGUGUAGCCGUUCAAAUUUUAAGUCUGUUCGACUUUUAAAUUCUU